GAUGAGCGCUGGCGGCGUGCCUAAUACAUGCAAGUCGAGCGAACGGACGAGAAGCUUGCUUCUCUGAUGUUAGCGGCGGACGGGUGAGUAACACGUGGAUAACCUACCUAUAAGACUGGGAUAACUUCGGGAAACCGGAGCUAAUACCGGAUAAUAUUUUGAACCGCAUGGUUCAAAAGUGAAAGACGGUCUUGCUGUCACUUAUGGAUGUAUCCGCGCUGCAUUAGCUAGUUGGUAAGGUAACGGCUUACCAAGGCAACGAUGCAUAGCCGACCUGAGAGGGUGAUCGGCCACACUGGAACUGAGACACGGUCCAGACUCCUACGGGAGGCAGCAGUAGGGAAUCUUCCGCAAUGGGCGAAAGCCUGACGGAGCAACGCCGCGUGAGUGAUGAAGGUCUUCGGAUCGUAAAACUCUGUUAUUAGGGAAGAACAUAUGUGUAAGUAACUGUGCACAUCUUGACGGUACCUAAUCAGAAAGCCACGGCUAACUACGUG
RNAcentral lists this ribosomal RNA (497 nucleotides) under uncultured bacterium. RNAcentral's name for it is "partial 16S ribosomal RNA". It matches the Rfam family "Bacterial small subunit ribosomal RNA", at positions 28 to 507 of the family's 1533-position model. The record is from RNAcentral.